Molecule: ribosomal RNA, 433 nt
Filed under: uncultured bacterium
Lineage: Bacteria
Description: partial 16S ribosomal RNA
Rfam family: Bacterial small subunit ribosomal RNA
Source: RNAcentral
AACGAACGCUGGCGGCAGGCCUAACACAUGCAAGUCGGGCGGACCCUUCGGGGUUAGCGGCGGACGGGUGAGUAACGCGUGGGAAUAUGCCCUUCUCUACGGAAUAGUCCUGGGAAACUGGGGGUAAUACCGUAUACGCCCUUUGGGGGAAAGAUUUAUCGGGGAAGGAUUAGCCCGCGUUGGAUUAGGUAGUUGGUGGGGUAAUGGCCUACCAAGCCGACGAUCCAUAGCUGGUUUGAGAGGAUGAUCAGCCACACUGGGACUGAGACACGGCCCAGACUCCUACGGGAGGCAGCAGUGGGGAAUCUUAGACAAUGGGGGCAACCCUGAUCUAGCCAUGCCGCGUGAGUGAUGAAGGCCUUAGGGUUGUAAAGCUCUUUCAGCUGGGAAGAUAAUGACGGUACCAGCAGAAGAAGCCCCGGCUAACUCCGUG